AGCAGUAGGGAAUAUUGCGCAAUGGAGGAAACUCCGACGCAGCAAUGCCACGUGAGUGAGGAAGGUCUUCGGAUUGUAAAGCUCUGUCCUAUAGGAAGAACGGCACUAGGUAACGCUAGGUGUUUGACGGUACUAUAGAAGAAAGCACCGGCUAACUCCGUGCCAGCAGCCGSGGUAAUACGGAGGGUGCAAGCGUUGUUCGGAUUUACUGGGCGUAAAGCGCGCGCAGGCGGACAAUCAAGUCAGAUGUGAAWUCUCGGGGCUUAACCCCGAAACUGCGUCUGAAACUGGUUGUCUAGAGUCUCACAGGGGGUUGGGGAAUUUCACGUGUAGGGSUAAAAUCCGUAGAGAUGUGAAGGAACACCAGUGGCGAARGGCGRCAGAUC
Molecule: ribosomal RNA, 386 nt
Filed under: uncultured delta proteobacterium
Lineage: Bacteria; Deltaproteobacteria
Description: bacterial SSU rRNA
Rfam family: Bacterial small subunit ribosomal RNA
Source: RNAcentral